AUGAACGCUGGCGGCGCGCCUAAUACAUGCAAGUCGAGCGAACAGACGAGGAGCUUGCUCCUCUGACGUUAGCGGCGGACGGGUGAGUAACACGUGGAUAACCUACCUAUAAGACUGGGAUAACUUCGGGAAACCGGAGCUAAUACCGGAUAAUAUAUUGAACCGCAUGGUUCAAUAGUGAAAGACGGUUUUGCUGUCACUUAUAGAUGGAUCCGCGCCGCAUUAGCUAGUUGGUAAGGUAACGGCUUACCAAGGCAACGAUGCGUAGCCGACCUGAGAGGGUGAUCGGCCACACUGGAACUGAGACACGGUCCAGACUCCUACGGGAGGCAGCAGUAGGGAAUCUUCCGCAAUGGGCGAAAGCCUGACGGAGCAACGCCGCGUGAGUGAUGAAGGUCUUCGGAUCGUAAAACUCUGUUAUUAGGGAAGAACAAAUGUGUAAGUAACUAUGCACGUCUUGACGGUACCUAAUCAGAAAGCCACGGCUAACUACGUG
Molecule: ribosomal RNA, 496 nt
Filed under: uncultured bacterium
Lineage: Bacteria
Description: partial 16S ribosomal RNA
Rfam family: Bacterial small subunit ribosomal RNA
Source: RNAcentral